Molecule: transfer RNA, 74 nt
Filed under: Centruroides sculpturatus (bark scorpion)
Lineage: Eukaryota; Metazoa; Arthropoda; Arachnida; Scorpiones; Buthidae
Description: tRNA-Thr
Rfam family: tRNA
About the family: Transfer RNA (tRNA) molecules are approximately 80 nucleotides in length. Their secondary structure includes four short double-helical elements and three loops (D, anti-codon, and T loops).
Source: RNAcentral
GGUGCCGUAGCUUAGUUGGUUAAAGCGCCUGUCUUGUAAACAGGAGAUUGCGAGUUCGAAUCUCGUCGGUGCCU